AUACUCUAGCUAUCUGAAAUCAAUUAUCAAACUAUAAAAUACCAAGGCUUACUACUUCCAUCUUAAUUCAAUCGAUAAUCCAUUCUACGAUUAUCAAUUCAAGAAUACUUCUCUCAAUCACAAUUCUUCAUAAGCAAAUAAUAAAGAAAACAAAGAGGUAGCACUAAGCUUAUCCUGGCUUACGACUAUCACAGUCUAGCUCUCGGCUUACGACUCUCACAGUCUGGCUCUCGGCUUAUGAUUCUCAGUGUGGCUCUCGGCUUACGACUCUCA
RNAcentral lists this long non-coding RNA (273 nucleotides) under Physcomitrium patens. RNAcentral's name for it is "long non-coding RNA (PPAT_LNC012537)". Lineage: Eukaryota; Viridiplantae; Streptophyta; Bryopsida; Funariales; Funariaceae. The record is from RNAcentral.